GAGGGUAUGGCUCAUUGGUAGAGCAUUUGCCUAGCAUGCACAAGGCCCUGGGUUUGAUUCCCAGGACUCUCC
Molecule: transfer RNA, 72 nt
Filed under: Heterocephalus glaber (naked mole-rat)
Lineage: Eukaryota; Metazoa; Chordata; Mammalia; Rodentia; Bathyergidae
Rfam family: tRNA
About the family: Transfer RNA (tRNA) molecules are approximately 80 nucleotides in length.
Source: Rfam by way of RNAcentral